GAAUAAAUUUGGUUUUGGAAUCUAAAGUUGGGGAGAGUAAAGUGAAAAGUUGAUUAGAAACUUGGAAAAAUGAGUUUUUACGAAAGGGUAAAAAUAUGAAAAGAAACAAGAAAAAGAAAUCACCCUUGAAACCAUAGAGCAAAAAAAAAAAGAAAAAAAAAGAAGCAAAGAAAAUGCUCAUGGUUGUGUGGAUUUGAAAAGAAAA
Molecule: long non-coding RNA, 205 nt
Filed under: Lathyrus oleraceus (garden pea)
Lineage: Eukaryota; Viridiplantae; Streptophyta; Magnoliopsida; Fabales; Fabaceae
Description: Pisum sativum (pea) long non-coding RNA (PSAT_LNC033119)
Source: RNAcentral